AUGGCGAUGGCGUGCAGGGGCGGCCUGGCGGCGGCGGGGGACACGGGGAGCCCGGGCGCGCGUCUGGCGGCGGCGGGGGAGGAGGAGGCGGGGGCGGGGAAGGUGAAGCUGCUGUGCAGCUACGGGGGGCGGAUCGCGCCGAGGUCGGGGGACGGGGCGCUGCGCUACGUGGGCGGCCAGAUGCGCCUCAUCUCCGUGCCCCGCGCCGCCUCCUUCGGGGACCUCGUGCGCAAGGUCGAGGCCGUCGACGAGUCCGCCGCCGCCGGACCCGCCGGCGGCGGGGGGAUGCUCGUCAAGUACCAGCUCCCCGGGGAGGACCUGGACUCGCUCGUCUCGGUGUCCUGCGCCGAGGACUACGACAACAUGCUGGAGGAGUACGAGAAGCUGGCCGCCGCCGCGCCCGACGGCUCCGCCAAGCUGCGGGUCUUCCUCUUCCCGGCCUCCGGGGCCGAGCCGUCCGCCUCCGGCUCCGGCUCGCACCUCCCCGCCGCCGCCGCCGUCGACGAGGCCGGGCAGCGCUACAUCGACGCCAUCAACUGCGUCUCCGCGGACGCCGUCCGCCGCAGGGAGAGCGUCGCCAGCGGCGGCUCCUCCGAGGCCUCCGAGCCCGCCGGCCUCGCCGAAGGUAUGUCGCCGCGGGCCGUGCCGCCCCCUUCCGUCCCGCCUGAAUAUUUGUAUUCGGCCGGGAGCCACACCAACCAUGCUACUAGUCCCUUUCCCCAGUCACUAGGAUUUUGUGCUGUCGCCGCGUCAGCUCCGGCAAUGGGCAUUCCGGCGCACAACCCCGUGUUGCUUAGGCCGGAGCCACAACCGCUGCAGCCUCAUCAGGUCGCCUCCUAUGCGCCGCCGCAUCAACCGGCUCCAGUUGCCUCUUAUGCACAGCAUCAGCAGCCGGCUCAACAGGUUGCCUCUUACGCGCCGCCACUGCAGCCUCAGGUUGCCUCCUCUUAUGCGCCGCCGCCGCCGCAGCCUCAAGUUGCUUCUUAUGCGCCGCCGCAGCAGCUGCCUCAGCAAUUUGGUCUGCAUGGUGUAUCUCAAUCCGCUAAUCUGAUGCAUGCGCACAUGAGCCAGUAUGUGCCCAGUACUCUGGGAACAAACUCCAUGGCGACCACGGGUGCCCAAAUUGGUGCUUUGAGGCCUGUUUCUGCAGGUACAGAACGUGUUCUGGAGAAUCUUCAUUUCUCACGGCCAAUGCAAACUCCAGUUGAUCCGAAUUGCAGGGUGCUGCAGCCACUUUCAGAGCUUCCUCCUCUGCCUCAUACGACUUUGCAGGCAAGUGAUGCUCAGAGGUAUGGCGUCCAGACGGUACUCACAAGCACAGCAAGCUCACCAGUGAUAACGAGCUCAAGGGCAUUCCCAGUGGUGGUGAGCUCGGCUACCGUGCCAACACUGAGGUACGAUGAUUGCACGAUGUGCCAGAAAAUACUGCCGCAUGCCCAUUCGGAUAACAUGAUACAGGAACAGGGAAAUCCUGGCGCAGUGAAUUAUCCUGAUGCUAGUCCAGUGUUUUACAGCAUCCAUCAAGAGAAUGCAACCAAACAACAGGUUCCAGCUGCAAUUCCAGUAUCACCUGCUAAUUACAUAGCAGAACCAAGAGCCGAGAGCACAGCAGGGAUGGCCCAGUUUGAUCCAAAACUUUCUGCUAGACAUCCUGCAGUUCAAGCAGCACCAUCUCAAGAUGCAGGAACGUUGGUUCAACCAACCAUGGUUACUGUACCUGUUUCCAGUAUACCUACUUCAAAUGGAGUUUUUGUAGGGCAGCCUCCACACGCGCUUGCUGAAGAUUUUCUCAUGUAUCAACGUCAGCAGCAACACCCUUACAGUAUGCAAACAACUCAAGUCCUGGCAAAUGGAGUCAGUAGCAAUCCACAAGGGAUUGAUGCAUUUAAGAAUUCAAAUCAUCCAGUAGCAGAACCAAUUGGAGAAUAUGCCCAUGAUGUUCCUCAUGAUUAUGUCAGAGCUAUCGAUGCUCGGAUGCAAGGAAUUCAGUUAGGUCCUAUUGCUCCUCCAGAAUCUAUUGUGCAAGGGAACUCGGCUAUUCCCCAUGGUGCUGUUGGCGAUGGGAUAGUUGAGAAGCCACCUGUUAUUAUUGAUGGCAGUCCCAUAUACAAAUCUCAAGCUGGAGGUUAUCACAUGGGCACUAGCAAUGCUUUUCCUGUUCCUUCUUUUAUCCUAGAGGACAAUGUUGUGAGACAUACUGAACAGCCACCUCCCUCUCGAAAUGUUGGUGCCAACGAUGUCUAUCCUGAGAUUGUCCAGCAGCCAAGUAUGUUACUCAAGAACAACCUUGGUUUGCCCAUUGAACAUCCUGUUCCGAGCGAAAGAUUUCUUUUGAGGCCUGCUUACUCUGGUGUUCAGUCUCCUGCUGGACCUCCUGCACAUCAUCCCGGGGAAAUGCUGAAUGGCAUGGUUUCCGCUCCCUAUAAUGUUAGUAGUCAAGUUGUAUUGCAGGCUGCUGCUAGUACUGAUUGUGUCGAAGCUACACAUGAACCAGCUUACACAGAAUCUCUUUUCUCAAACCAGGAUCCUUGGAAAGCAAUUGGAAAUGCUUCGGCAGUACCUCCAACAUCAAACAUGUUGGCUAAGGAACAUGUUCUUUCUGGAGAUCCAUAUGUGGAUGGCCAUAUUCCUGCAAUUACAAGUUCGAAUGCUGCUAUGCUAUUAGAAGAAGGCAAUCUUCCACUCAUUCAUGACCCUACUUUCAAGGAUAUAUACCCAGAACCUGCUCAAAUAAGCAAAGGAUAUGGAGAAGAAAUUGUCAAACGGCAAUUACAAGCUGUCGCGGAAGGUGUGGCAGCAUCUGUUCUGCAGUCACCAUUUCCUGAAAAACCAACUGAAUUUUCUGGGGAUCACAAAGAUUUGCCUGGAGAUGUAGUUGAUCCAAAAAAUGAGGAUGCGCCGAGCAAACAGUCAGACAAAACAAGCCAAGGAGUUCCAGUUCUAGAUGACAUCGAUAACCUUCAGAUAAUAAAGAACAGUGAUCUUGAAGAAUUGCGUGAACUAGGUUCUGGAACCUUUGGUACUGUUUACCAUGGAAAAUGGAGAGGUUCUGAUGUCGCUAUAAAAAGGAUAAGCGAUCGAUGUUUUGUUGGGAAACCUUCUGAGGAACAGCGCAUGAAAACCGAUUUCUGGAAUGAAGCUUGCAAGCUUUCAUCGUUGCACCAUCCAAAUGUCGUUGCUUUUUACGGUGUUGUUCUGGAUGGACCAGGUGGAUCUGUUGCAACAGUCACCGAGUACAUGGCUAAUGGUUCGCUUCGACAAGCAUUACAAAGACAUGAAAAGAUAUUCGACAGGCGUAGGCGUCUACUAAUUGUGAUGGAUGUUGCAUUUGGUAUGGAAUAUUUGCACGGGAGGAACAUUGUGCACUUCGACUUGAAGAGUGAUAAUCUGCUCGUCAAUCUAAGAGAUCCCCAACGCCCUAUAUGCAAGGUCGGUGAUUUGGGCUUAUCAAAGGUUAAAUGCCAGACACUGAUCUCUGGUGGAGUGCGAGGAACACUUCCCUGGAUGGCUCCUGAGCUGUUAAAUGGCAGCAGUAACCUUGUUUCUGAAAAGGUUGACGUCUUCUCAUUCGGAAUCGUGAUGUGGGAGCUGCUUACCGGUGAAGAGCCUUACGCCGACCUGCAUUACGGCGCCAUCAUAGGUGGGAUCGUGAACAACACCCUGCGGCCUCUGGUGCCCGAGUCGUGCGACCCCCAGUGGAGAUCGCUGAUGGAGCAGUGCUGGUCGGCCGAGCCGACGGAGCGGCCGAGCUUCACGGAGGUCGUCAAGAGGCUACGGGCCAUGGCGACCUCCCCCACCAAGGCGCCGCCGCAGAAGUAG
This 3819-nucleotide ribosomal RNA is filed under the name Triticum aestivum (bread wheat). RNAcentral's name for it is "partial small subunit ribosomal RNA". Lineage: Eukaryota; Viridiplantae; Streptophyta; Magnoliopsida; Poales; Poaceae. The record is from RNAcentral.